Lolium perenne is the source of this 2428-nucleotide RNA transcript. RefSeq lists it as uncharacterized. Lineage: Eukaryota; Viridiplantae; Streptophyta; Magnoliopsida; Poales; Poaceae. The record is from RefSeq and is a predicted model, not a curated record.
CCGGUUGCCUCAUGCAAUCUUCCCGGUUUCUCUCCAGUUUUAGCCAGUUACAGAUUUUUGUUUGUUAGAUUUUCACCGCGUGGCUUCAUUUUACUUACGUGGCAUAGUUAUUUCUAUUCUACGUGUCUUCAUAAACAACCCACACCGCUUAAGGCUGCGUCGGUUACAACUUACAGCAACGAAGCCAAAAGGGGAGUUGACAUGAACCGACAAAUCAGAUCCCCAUUGACGUGUCCUCUCUCUCCCUUCUCUUCCCACUCCGCGUGGGCUUCUCCAUGGCGUUCUUGCGGGCUCUCCGAGGUGAGCUCGGUCCUCUCUCCGAGGCGAGCAGCAGCCUGCGAGAAAUUCAGGGCUGGACGGGAUAGUGGCGCUGGCGGCCGUAUCGGUGGAUACUCGGAGGAGGAGGACGCCGGUUUGCCAUGUCGGCGAGCGGCAGGAGCAGCACGCCGGGAGGAGAGGUAUCGCGCCGAGAUCCCGGAGCCGGCCAUGUCAUGGUGGCGGCGCGCGCGGAUCUGGCCGCCGCGUGACCUCGGGAGGGAGUCGGGUAGCACCGACGCUGUUGACAUCGUCACAUCGAGACAGGACGGCGAGCAGGUAGAAGCGAUGGCGGUUCUUUCUUUCCCUUCCACGGGCGGCCUCGAGAGCGAUGGUGUGCUCUAACACGGCGGGGGCGACACACAAGAGCUUUCUGGCGACUCAGCAACGACGAGCUUGCUGAGCACGAGCAUGGUCGAUAUUCCGGCUACUACGGACACGGCCAGAUAAAAUCUAAUAGUUCACCGCCUUAGGCUUGACCACGAUACCCUUGCUGUAGACUGUCCGCAAUUGGAUUUGGAGGGCAUGAUAUGCCAGUCGAAGGCCAACGCCAAUUUCGUCAACUUGGACAGCAUAGCAUAACAGACAUCGCAGAAUUGGCCAUCUCACAGUUGGAGUUUCUCAAUGAGGAAGGAGCAUGUGAUGGCAUGUGGUGAGUACUCGUGGACACACUUGCAUAAGAGACUGGGCAGCUGGAUCCAUCUCGGCGCAGCUCAUGCUUAGUUCCAACGAGCCAUCCCUCCUGGCGUAUGUGCGCCUCAGCUGCUUCGGUCACAAAUGGCAAUGCAGACAACUUUGGUCAAAGAUGUCUGGCGGCGAGGCCAUCAAUGUAAGACCCUUGCGCGUGUCAUGGGCAUCUAGGAAGAAAAAGAUUCAGAAAUCUAUAUGAAUUUGAUUUCAUCAUCUUCUGAUUGUGAGGUACUAUACCCAACACACACUUUCAUGAUGCAUGUUUACUUAACACACUUAUUGCUGCAGAGCAUUGGUUAUCGUUUUAUUUCGGAUUUAUCUCUGAUUAUCAGAAUUCAUAAUCCUUUAAUUACCAGACCACUUUCUGUCGGUUCACUUAUUGUUCCUCUUUCUUAUCUUCUCCUAGAGGUACCAAUUGUAGCAGGUACGGUGUAGAUUUUUUCCUCUCAUCCUCAUUACCGUGCUUACUCGCACAAGUGCCUAAUUUCUACCAGAGUCAAAUUCAAACUUGCAUGAUGUGCUCCCCCACUUUUAGCGCUACAGAAUCUUUAGCUGUACAAAAUUGUUAUUGAAAAAAGGUAACAUUAGUGCAGCCGAGCGCCUGGUUCUUUGCAUUCACAAUGGGCAAAAAGUAACACCAGUGCAGCCGAGCACCUGUUCUCUGCAUUCGCACAAUAUUCAGUCUCAGCGAGUCAUUUUAGGCAAACAUGACACACACCGCAGAGGUGACUUAUUUAUAAGUUUAGCACAUUUCAUUCUCAGGUAUGUCGUGUGCGCUUUAGAAUAUGCAUGUUUCUACGAAAAUCCAUGUAGAAGUCCUUGGUUGCUAUAUUAUUCGCUGUUGACAUAUAUUUUUUCUUUUCCUUUGUCAAUAUUGCAGGAAACACAAGGACAUAUUAUGUGUCAAACAGUUGCAUCAAAUGUUUAUCGUGGCCGAUGCACAAAAUACGUAGAGACCUAUCAAAGAAAUCAUAGAAGCAACCGAUCCAGAUUCAGGCAAGGUCACACGCAGUAAGCAACAACAGCAAAAGUCAGGAAUCGGCCACUGCAUCGGUAAAAAGUACAACUUAUGGAAAAAGGAAAGCAACCAAUAAACUAUUCCUUCCAAAAAAAGGAACUUAACUUUAGAAUGACAUCAGCUUGAGUAAAUCCAUGGACUCCAGUCACUAGAAUAAUUUGUAUGGUCUCAUGGACCUAUGUGUUCUAUUUUCAGUAGCCUGUAAAAUUAAGUACUUAGCCAUCUACAUACAGCUACCUUAGUUAUCCUACUGUCUUUUGAAACCUGCCACUGUGAUAUACUUUCAGGGUGUUGUACUAUAUGAUGAAGUGCAUUAAUGCCUUAGGCAGUAAAUUAUUUUCCUAAGGAGCGGCACAGUUCAAGAUGUGUAAAUAUUGCAGUGGAAAGUUUUAGAUAAAAGGCUCA